RNAcentral lists this small nuclear RNA (23 nucleotides) under Arabidopsis thaliana (thale cress). RNAcentral's name for it is "snRNA_00561". Lineage: Eukaryota; Viridiplantae; Streptophyta; Magnoliopsida; Brassicales; Brassicaceae. The record is from RNAcentral.
ACCGCAUCGCAACAGUGGUGUAA